This 2786-nucleotide ribosomal RNA is filed under the name Escherichia coli. RNAcentral's name for it is "bacterial LSU rRNA". It matches the Rfam family "Bacterial large subunit ribosomal RNA". Lineage: Bacteria; Pseudomonadati; Pseudomonadota; Gammaproteobacteria; Enterobacterales; Enterobacteriaceae. The record is from RNAcentral.
AGCGUACACGGUGGAUGCCCUGGCAGUCAGAGGCGAUGAAGGACGUGCUAAUCUGCGAUAAGCGUCGGUAAGGUGAUAUGAACCGUUAUAACCGGCGAUUUCCGAAUGGGGAAACCCAGUGUGUUUCGACACACUAUCAUUAACUGAAUCCAUAGGUUAAUGAGGCGAACCGGGGGAACUGAAACAUCUAAGUACCCCGAGGAAAAGAAAUCAACCGAGAUUCCCCCAGUAGCGGCGAGCGAACGGGGAGCAGCCCAGAGCCUGAAUCAGUGUGUGUGUUAGUGGAAGCGUCUGGAAAGGCGCGCGAUACAGGGUGACAGCCCCGUACACAAAAAUGCACAUGCUGUGAGCUCGAUGAGUAGGGCGGGACACGUGGUAUCCUGUCUGAAUAUGGGGGGACCAUCCUCCAAGGCUAAAUACUCCUGACUGACCGAUAGUGAACCAGUACCGUGAGGGAAAGGCGAAAAGAACCCCGGCGAGGGGAGUGAAAAAGAACCUGAAACCGUGUACGUACAAGCAGUGGGAGCACGCUUAGGCGUGUGACUGCGUACCUUUUGUAUAAUGGGUCAGCGACUUAUAUUCUGUAGCAAGGUUAACCGAAUAGGGGAGCCGAAGGGAAACCGAGUCUUAACUGGGCGUUAAGUUGCAGGGUAUAGACCCGAAACCCGGUGAUCUAGCCAUGGGCAGGUUGAAGGUUGGGUAACACUAACUGGAGGACCGAACCGACUAAUGUUGAAAAAUUAGCGGAUGACUUGUGGCUGGGGGUGAAAGGCCAAUCAAACCGGGAGAUAGCUGGUUCUCCCCGAAAGCUAUUUAGGUAGCGCCUCGUGAAUUCAUCUCCGGGGGUAGAGCACUGUUUCGGCAAGGGGGUCAUCCCGACUUACCAACCCGAUGCAAACUGCGAAUACCGGAGAAUGUUAUCACGGGAGACACACGGCGGGUGCUAACGUCCGUCGUGAAGAGGGAAACAACCCAGACCGCCAGCUAAGGUCCCAAAGUCAUGGUUAAGUGGGAAACGAUGUGGGAAGGCCCAGACAGCCAGGAUGUUGGCUUAGAAGCAGCCAUCAUUUAAAGAAAGCGUAAUAGCUCACUGGUCGAGUCGGCCUGCGCGGAAGAUGUAACGGGGCUAAACCAUGCACCGAAGCUGCGGCAGCGACACUGUGUGUUGUUGGGUAGGGGAGCGUUCUGUAAGCCUGUGAAGGUGUACUGUGAGGUAUGCUGGAGGUAUCAGAAGUGCGAAUGCUGACAUAAGUAACGAUAAAGCGGGUGAAAAGCCCGCUCGCCGGAAGACCAAGGGUUCCUGUCCAACGUUAAUCGGGGCAGGGUGAGUCGACCCCUAAGGCGAGGCCGAAAGGCGUAGUCGAUGGGAAACAGGUUAAUAUUCCUGUACUUGGUGUUACUGCGAAGGGGGGACGGAGAAGGCUAUGUUGGCCGGGCGACGGUUGUCCCGGUUUAAGCGUGUAGGCUGGUUUUCCAGGCAAAUCCGGAAAAUCAAGGCUGAGGCGUGAUGACGAGGCACUACGGUGCUGAAGCAACAAAUGCCCUGCUUCCAGGAAAAGCCUCUAAGCAUCAGGUAACAUCAAAUCGUACCCCAAACCGACACAGGUGGUCAGGUAGAGAAUACCAAGGCGCUUGAGAGAACUCGGGUGAAGGAACUAGGCAAAAUGGUGCCGUAACUUCGGGAGAAGGCACGCUGAUAUGUAGGUGAAGUCCCUUGCGGAUGGAGCUGAAAUCAGUCGAAGAUACCAGCUGGCUGCAACUGUUUAUUAAAAACACAGCACUGUGCAAACACGAAAGUGGACGUAUACGGUGUGACGCCUGCCCGGUGCCGGAAGGUUAAUUGAUGGGGUUAGCGCAAGCGAAGCUCUUGAUCGAAGCCCCGGUAAACGGCGGCCGUAACUAUAACGGUCCUAAGGUAGCGAAAUUCCUUGUCGGGUAAGUUCCGACCUGCACGAAUGGCGUAAUGAUGGCCAGGCUGUCUCCACCCGAGACUCAGUGAAAUUGAACUCGCUGUGAAGAUGCAGUGUACCCGCGGCAAGACGGAAAGACCCCGUGAACCUUUACUAUAGCUUGACACUGAACAUUGAGCCUUGAUGUGUAGGAUAGGUGGGAGGCUUUGAAGUGUGGACGCCAGUCUGCAUGGAGCCGACCUUGAAAUACCACCCUUUAAUGUUUGAUGUUCUAACGUGGACCCGUAAUCCGGGUUGCGGACAGUGUCUGGUGGGUAGUUUGACUGGGGCGGUCUCCUCCUAAAGAGUAACGGAGGAGCACGAAGGUUGGCUAAUCCUGGUCGGACAUCAGGAGGUUAGUGCAAUGGCAUAAGCCAGCUUGACUGCGAGCGUGACGGCGCGAGCAGGUGCGAAAGCAGGUCAUAGUGAUCCGGUGGUUCUGAAUGGAAGGGCCAUCGCUCAACGGAUAAAAGGUACUCCGGGGAUAACAGGCUGAUACCGCCCAAGAGUUCAUAUCGACGGCGGUGUUUGGCACCUCGAUGUCGGCUCAUCACAUCCUGGGGCUGAAGUAGGUCCCAAGGGUAUGGCUGUUCGCCAUUUAAAGUGGUACGCGAGCUGGGUUUAGAACGUCGUGAGACAGUUCGGUCCCUAUCUGCCGUGGGCGCUGGAGAACUGAGGGGGGCUGCUCCUAGUACGAGAGGACCGGAGUGGACGCAUCACUGGUGUUCGGGUUGUCAUGCCAAUGGCACUGCCCGGUAGCUAAAUGCGGAAGAGAUAAGUGCUGAAAGCAUCUAAGCACGAAACUUGCCCCGAGAUGAGUUCUCCCUGACUCCUUGA